GAUAAACGCUGGCGGCAUGCCUAAUACAUGCAAGUCGAACGGAGAUAUUAGAGCUUGCUUUGAUAUCUUAGUGGCGAACGGGUGAGUAACACGUAGUUAACCUACCCAUUGGACUGGGACAACUUUUGGAAACGAAAGCUAAUACCGGAUAGGAAGAAAUUUUAAAGGAGCACUAGCUUCACCAAUGGAAGGGACUGCGUCUGAUUAGCUAGUUGGUAGGGUAAGAGCGUACCAAGGCGACGAUCGGUAGCCGGACUGAGAGGUUGACCGGCCACACUGGGACUGAGACACGGCCCAGACUCCUACGGGAGGCAGCAGUAGGGAAUCUUGCACAAUGAGCGCAAGCUUGAUGCAGCAAUGCCGCGUGAGUGAAGAAGUUUUUCGGAAUGUAAAACUCUGUUAUAUGGGAGGAAAAGAUUAAAGAGGAAAUGCUUUAAUCCGUGACGGUACCAUAUCAGCAAGGGACGGCUAACUACGUGCCAGCAGCCGCGGUAAUACGUAGGUCCCGAGCGUUAUCCGGAAUUAUUGGGCGUAAAGGGUACGCAGGUGGUUAUGAAAGUCUGGUGUGAAAUUUUAGGGCUCAACCCUAAAAGGUCAUUGGAAACUGCAUGACUCGAGAGCAGGAGAGGUAAGUGGAAUUCCUAGUGUAGCGGUGAAAUGCGUAGAUAUUAGGAGGAACACCAGUGGCGAAGGCGGCUUACUGGACUGCGUCUGACACUGAGGUACGAAAGCGUGG
Molecule: ribosomal RNA, 736 nt
Filed under: uncultured bacterium
Lineage: Bacteria
Description: bacterial SSU rRNA
Rfam family: Bacterial small subunit ribosomal RNA
Source: RNAcentral